CCUACGGGAGGCACCAGUAGGGAAUCUUCCACAAUGGACGGAAGUCUGAUGGAGCAACGCCGCGUGAGUGAAGAAGGGUUUCGGCUCGUAAAACUCUGUUGUUAGAGAAGAACAGGUGUAAGAGUAACUGCUUACAUUUCGACGGUAUCUAACCAGAAAGUCACGGCUAACUACGUGCCAGCAGCCGCGGUAAUACGUAGGUGGCAAGCGUUGUCCGGAUUUAUUGGGCGUAAAGGGAGCGCAGGUGGUCUUUUAAGUCUGAUGUGAAAGCCUUCGGCUUAACCGAAGAAGUGCAUCGGAAACUGAAUGACUUGAGUGCAGAAGAGGACAGUGGAACUCCAUGCGUAGCGGUGAAAUGCGUAGAUAUAUGGAGGAACACCAGUGGCGAAGGCGACUGUCUGGUCUGUUACUGACACUGAGGCUCGAAAGCAUGGGUAGCAAACAGGAUUAGAUACCCGAGUAGUC
Molecule: ribosomal RNA, 465 nt
Filed under: uncultured bacterium
Lineage: Bacteria
Description: bacterial SSU rRNA
Rfam family: Bacterial small subunit ribosomal RNA
Source: RNAcentral